CUACACAUGCAGUCGAGCGGAUGAGAAGAGCUUGCUCUUCGAUUCAGCGGCGGACGGGUGAGUAAUACCUAGGAAUCUGCCUGGUAGUGGGGGACAACGUUUCGAAAGGAACGCUAAUACCGCAUACGCCCUACGGGGGAAAGCAGGGGACCUUCGGGCCUUGCGCUAUCAGAUGAGCCUAGGUCGGAUUAGCUAGUUGGUGAGGUAAUGGCUCACCAAGGCGACGAUCCGUAACUGGUCUGAGAGGAUGAUCAGUCACACUGGAACUGAGACACGGUCCAGACUCCUACGGGAGGCAGCAGUGGGGAAUAUUGGACAAUGGGCGAAAGCCUGAUCCAGCCAUGCCGCGUGUGUGAAGAAGGUCUUCGGAUUGUAAAGCACUUUAAGUUGGGAGGAAGGGCAUUAACCUAAUACGUUAGUGUUUUGACGUUACCGACAGAAUAAGCACCGGCUAACUCUGUGCCAGCAGCCGCGGUAAUACAGAGGGUGCAAGCGUUAAUCGGAAUUACUGGGCGUAAAGCGCGCGUAGGUGGUUCGUUAAGUUGGAUGUGAAAUCCCCGGGCUCAACCUGGGAACUGCAUCCAAAACUGGCGAGCUAGAGUAGGGCAGAGGGUGGUGGAAUUUCCUGUGUAGCGGUGAAAUGCGUAGAUAUAGGAAGGAACACCAGUGGCGAAGGCGACCACCUGGGCUCAUACUGACACUGAGGUGCGAAAGCGUGGGGAGCAAACAGGAUUAGAUACCCUGGUAGUCCACGCCGUAAACGAUGUCAACUAGCCGUUGGAAUCCUUGAGAUUUUAGUGGCGCAGCUAACGCAUUAAGUUGACCGCCUGGGG
This 833-nucleotide ribosomal RNA is filed under the name Pseudomonas sp. RNAcentral's name for it is "bacterial SSU rRNA". It matches the Rfam family "Bacterial small subunit ribosomal RNA", at positions 49 to 878 of the family's 1533-position model. The record is from RNAcentral. Lineage: Bacteria; Pseudomonadati; Pseudomonadota; Gammaproteobacteria; Pseudomonadales; Pseudomonadaceae.